Molecule: ribosomal RNA, 503 nt
Filed under: uncultured bacterium
Lineage: Bacteria
Description: partial 16S ribosomal RNA
Rfam family: Bacterial small subunit ribosomal RNA
Source: RNAcentral
GACGAACGCUGGCGGCGUGCUUAACACAUGCAAGUCGAACGGUGAAGCGCUUUCCUUUUUGGUUGGUGUGGAUGAGUGGCGAACGGGUGAGUAACACGUGAGUAACCUGCCCCCUUCUUCUGGAUAACCGCAUGAAAGUGUGGCUAAUACGGGAUAUUCUGCGCCUGCUGCAUGGUGGGUGUGGGAAAGAUUGUGCCUUUGGGUGUUUUCGGUUGGGGAUGGGCUCGCGGCCUAUCAGCUUGUUGGUGGGGUGAUGGCCUACCAAGGCGGUGACGGGUAGCCGGCCUGAGAGGGUGGACGGUCACACUGGGACUGAGACACGGCCCAGACUCCUACGGGAGGCAGCAGUGGGGAAUAUUGCACAAUGGGCGCAAGCCUGAUGCAGCGACGCCGCGUGAGGGAUGGAGGCCUUCGGGUUGUGAACCUCUUUCGCCAGUGAAGCAGGCCUGCUCCUUGUGGGUGGGUUGACGGUAGCUGGAUAAGAAGCGCCGGCUAACUACGUG